Non-coding RNA from Oryzias latipes (Japanese medaka), 1292 nucleotides. The record is from RefSeq and is a predicted model, not a curated record. Lineage: Eukaryota; Metazoa; Chordata; Actinopteri; Beloniformes; Adrianichthyidae.
GAAGAAACCACUCUGCAGUAAGUGUGUCACCCACCCAUUUAGUCCCUACAAACGCAUACUGUGAGAUGAGCUGUUUUCUUUUCGAAUGAGAAAACAGAACUAUCCGUUUCACCUUGAAAUGGAGCAGCAAUUCCACGGCCUGAGUGAAAUGCUAGAAUGCCAUCAAUGGGCUUUAGCGUGAGGCGGUGGGCUGCAUUCAGCUGGACAGCGUGAAAACCUAAUAUAGUGUGGUUUCAGAGCAAGGCUCAAAGCCUGUGGCGAGUUGUUGUGGUUUCUGCACCACCGCCCUCCUGUUCAGCUCAUCCUCCAGCAUUUUCUCAAUAUACCUCCACCUCUGCAAGCUGGAGCUCACAGUCCGGCCAGCCUAAUCUCCACCGUGCUUAAUGUGCUCUUCCCACUCCCGCUCUAAACCUCUGCGAGACGCCGGGCGGACACCAGCGGACGACGUCUCAUGGACUCAUUCUGCAGCUCAGCGUGCCGCCAACAGGAGUUCACUUGUCAGAACCGAUUACUCACAGAGAUUGCUGAUCAAAUCGUCCAAUCAUCCAAACUCUGAAACAGUUUUCACUUUUCAAUCUUCCUGCUGGAAAUGUGACCCCAUUUUUUUCUUUUUCUUUAUGGCUUCUCUCCUGGACCUCGGGUGGAACCUGGAUCUGCUUCCUGUAUCUUUCAAAGCGGUUUAAAAUAAUUCCUCCAACACUGGUCCCUCCUUUUGUGUCGGUCUGGAGGGAAAAGAAAACAUCAGCUGAACAGACAUCGCGGUUUGGUGUUUGUCGCAUGAGAACGGCUGCACCCUCCACGCCGGGAAAUGAGGUGAAACAGAAAGGAAGAGGCAAAGCGUCGCUGCAGAUGCCCUCUUCUGGGCCAGGCCUCCCUAAGGACAGGCUCGUCUUGGACUGAGCUGCGUGAUCUGGCGAGAGACGGUCUGGUGAAUCCAUUAGCUGAGCCUUUAAUAGGAAGCUACACCUGGGUUCUUGUUGUCACAGCAUCCCUGUUCCUGCCUCCUCCUUCUUCCUGCCAGCUGAACUCCAAGAGAACCGGGAAAAAAAAAUCAUUUAUUGGGUGUUUCUGAAUAAACAUGUUGCUUUUGUGAAAAAGUCAAUCUUCAACAACAAAGCUUUAACCAGCUUUAACCAGCAACACCCCCCCACCCCUACUGCACAUGCACUGCCUUACAUUGUUUAAUAUGUCGCCUUGUUUGUCUUUAAUUUGACUGUUUUUGUUCUUUGGGUUUUCGUUUUAAUCUGAACUGACUUGCAAACAAAUAAAUCUCCACGUAUCUUUACCUUUCA